This 465-nucleotide ribosomal RNA is filed under the name Vreelandella stevensii. Its description in RNAcentral is "partial 16S ribosomal RNA". It matches the Rfam family "Bacterial small subunit ribosomal RNA", at positions 338 to 795 of the family's 1533-position model. The record is from RNAcentral. Lineage: Bacteria; Pseudomonadati; Pseudomonadota; Gammaproteobacteria; Oceanospirillales; Halomonadaceae.
CCUACGGGUGGCUGCAGUGGGGAAUAUUGGACAAUGGGGGCAACCCUGAUCCAGCCAUGCCGCGUGUGUGAAGAAGGCCCUCGGGUUGUAAAGCACUUUCAGUGAGGAAGAACGCCUGGUGGUUAAUACCCAUCAGGAAAGACAUCACUCACAGAAGAAGCACCGGCUAACUCCGUGCCAGCAGCCGCGGUAAUACGGAGGGUGCGAUCGUUAAUCGGAAUUACUGGGCGUAAAGCGCGCGUAGGUGGCUUGAUAAGCCGGUUGUGAAAGCCCCGGGCUCAACCUGGGAACGGCAUCCGGAACUGUCAAGCUAGAGUGCAGGAGAGGAAGGUAGAAUUCCCGGUGUAGCGGUGAAAUGCGUAGAGAUCGGGAGGAAUACCAGUGGCGAAGGCGGCCUUCUGGACUGACACUGACACUGAGGUGCGAAAGCGUGGGUAGCAAACAGGAUUAGAUACCCCUGUAGUC